Carassius carassius (crucian carp) is the source of this 259-nucleotide long non-coding RNA. RefSeq lists it as uncharacterized. The transcript has 3 exons. The record is from RefSeq and is a predicted model, not a curated record. Lineage: Eukaryota; Metazoa; Chordata; Actinopteri; Cypriniformes; Cyprinidae.
UUCUGUCUUUAAAGCUCAAUAAAGAGUGAAUCCUCAGUCUGAACUGUUUGUUGUCUGAAGGUCAAAGAUGAGAAUGAAGAUAAAGUGACGUAUGAGACGAUCAACAUGUCCACUCCUGCUGCUGCGAGAGACAAUGAGCAGACAGAUGAUGUGACUUACUCUGAAGUCUCUUCUUCCAGUAAAAAGCCAGUGAAAUCAGUCAAAGAUCAAGAUGAUUCAGUGACUUACGCUGCCAUCAGAGGAACACAAAAUUAGCCGC